Non-coding RNA from Caenorhabditis elegans, 83 nucleotides. NCBI's taxonomy places the organism in Eukaryota, Metazoa, Nematoda, Chromadorea, Rhabditida, Rhabditidae. The record is from Ensembl.
GGUCUGCUUGACUACAAACUACAAACUCGAUUUAGCAGACCCAAGUUGUUGUGAAGCGAAUGGGUCUGCUAGACUACGAACUA